This 253-nucleotide ribosomal RNA is filed under the name uncultured bacterium. RNAcentral describes it as "partial 16S ribosomal RNA". It matches the Rfam family "Bacterial small subunit ribosomal RNA", at positions 524 to 776 of the family's 1533-position model. The record is from RNAcentral.
UACGUAGGGGGCUAGCGUUGUCCGGAUUUAUUGGGCGUAAAGAGCGCGUAGGCGGUCCGAUAAGUCGGCUGUGAAAGUCAAGGGCUCAACCCUUGAAAGCCGGCCGAUACUGUCGGACUAGAGUCCGGAAGAGGCGAGUGGAAUUCCCGGUGUGGCGGUGAAAUGCGCAGAUAUCGGGAGGAACACCAAUGGCGAAGGCGGCUCACUGGACCGGAACUGACGCUGAGGCGCGAAAGCUAGGGGAGCAAACGGG